UACGUAGGGUGCAAGCGUUAAUCGGAAUUACUGGGCGUAAAGCGUACGCAGGCGGCUUUGCAAGACAGGUGUGAAAUCCCCGGGCCUAACCUGGGAACUGCAUUUGUGACUGCAAGGCUUGAGUGUGUCAGAGGGAGGUGGAAUUCCGCGUGUAGCAGUGAAAUGCGUAGAUAUGCGGAGGAACACCGAUGGCGAAGGCAGCCUCCUGGGAUAACACUGACGCUCAUGCACGAAAGCGUGGGGAGCAAACAGG
Molecule: ribosomal RNA, 253 nt
Filed under: uncultured bacterium
Lineage: Bacteria
Description: partial 16S ribosomal RNA
Rfam family: Bacterial small subunit ribosomal RNA
Source: RNAcentral